UUCGAGAGAGAGAAUACAGAGUAUUUUAGAGAGAGAUACAGACUGUAGAGAGAGAAAAAAAAGAGAGAAUUGAGAAUUAAAAAAAUAAUUUAUUUGAGAUUCAUUGAUACAAACAUAUUACAUGCUAAUUUUGAUUUACAACCUCUUAUUUAUAGAUACGAACAGUACAUAAAUCAUUGUUUCCAACAGUUAAUCCUUGUUACGCACCAGAAGCUACCAUUCGAAUAAGCAUUUUCAUCCCGUCGAUCGCAUCGCAUGAAGGAAAAGAUGAAUACUCAACUCUGUUGAAGAAACAGUUCCAAAGCUUGCACCCCUGCUUCCAACCAUAUAUAUC
RNAcentral lists this long non-coding RNA (334 nucleotides) under Carica papaya (papaya). RNAcentral's name for it is "long non-coding RNA (CPAP_LNC007524)". Lineage: Eukaryota; Viridiplantae; Streptophyta; Magnoliopsida; Brassicales; Caricaceae. The record is from RNAcentral.